UUACGUGUCUAACGAUGAGUCUUUCCUCCAACUUGAGUCCGAGAUCGCGAUUCCAUCGCACAAGAAUCCUGGCCGCGAAGGGCGGCGGGGCAGCGGGGUGGCGGGGGUGGCGGGGCCGGCGUUGAUUUUAACGCAAUAAAAGCGCUAAAGAGGUUUUGAUGGAGGGCGCCGCCCGAAGCUCCUCCUCUUCCGAGGCAGCCCCCUCCCCGCCCCUCCGGUAGGAUUUACUCGGCUCCAUCCAGCCGAUUCACAUGUCGCAAAGUUCCACUCCGUCGUUACAUUGUCGUUCCGUUCCGCAGCCAGUGUCAUCUCCCCGUCGCUUGGGCAUCCUGACCCUCCCGACCUCCGUGUCAGUGUGUGAGUGCGUUCCGGCAACCUUUUAAUUACCCCCCGACAAGUGAUACCUAUAGUGUCCAGUGCCCGAGGGUGUAUUGCGCGGUUCCAAGCUCCUCAAAGCUCGGCAUAGACCCCCAAGCUUUCGUUUUUACAACUUUCAUUUUAACACCCGCACGCAAUAAGGGAGCUAGACUUAUGGUUAGAUUGAUAAAAAUUGAUGGGGUUCACACAUUAAUUAGCAUGACCUCAUUCUAGAAUCGUGUAGAGUUGUCUCUGUUAGGAUCGAAGCUGAAUAGGAAACGUUGCUGCUGAAGAAACUAAUCUAGUUUGAAAGAUGGUGCGUAUCGUUAGGCUAAGUUUUGUGAUCAAUGUUCCUUGUGAUUUAUGAGGUGUCAUCGAUUGUGCUGAGAAAACCAUUCAAAGUAAUGGAUGCGUUCCUGAAGUCCGCCGCAACCUGUUUCUGUCCUCGCUGGACGAUACUAAAAAGUAAGUGGUAGGGAUGUAUCUCAGCUGCUGAUUUUGCUGAAAAGUUCUCUCCGCAAGUAUUGAGACGUUCGAGGCGCGACGGUGAUUAAACAUUCAUGAUGGAGGUCUCGAUUCCGGCACCUUUGGACUUCAGUCUGGGCGUGAAACCUCAACAGGGUCUACUGAAAAUGCUCCAAAAUUCUGCCACGACCAGUGAUUCCAGCAGUGCCUUCCGGGUUGUCACACCGAAGAGUAAACGAGAAGAUUCAAAGUCACCAUCGGAAGUUGCGGGAACACCAACCAUUUCAACAGUACCGUGUUAUAACAAUAGACUAUGGAGCAAUGGAGCAAGCACAUUCCAGCGGCCUUCCCAUUUUCCCUCCCUAAAUCGGAAUAAGAAAAAUAACGAUGUGAUAAAUUUCGGAGUGAGCAGGCUCGUGGACAAAUGCGACGAGGACAGCAAGGACUCGUGGGAGAGGUUCAAGAGACUGAACAAUAACAACAACAACAACAACUCAUCGAAGCAGUUCAAUCGGAAUGACGUCACAACGAUGACGGAGCGAACGGGCUCGCCCUCCCCCGGGCGGCAGGACGAGCGGUGGUCGUCGGAGAAGACGCCAUCGCCGUGCUCCUCGCCGGAGCUUGACGUGGACGUUGACGUGGACGUGGAGAGUCCGUCGCCGAUCGACGUCACCAUGCGCACCCCCACCCCCACCCCGAGCCCCUCCCCCUCGCCCAAGCGCUCGCCGUCGCCGUCAUCCUCACCACCGGUCAAGAAGUCCGAGGCCUUUAGCAUGUCGGCCCUCCUGAAACCGGAUACCCCGCGGAGCCGGAAGUCGGACGAGUUUCCGGCAGGUUUCUCGGAGACCAUUUCCGUCACCAGGUCUUUCCUCUACCCUGGCCUCCCGUUCUCCAAUAUCUUCCUUCGGGACGCCAAGGACCUGUCCCCGCAGUCUCAGAGCAUCAUCCCCAGGCACUUCCUCAGCCCAAACUUCGCACUGCCCAGCGGUUUGUAUCCUUCCAUGCCCAGCAAAGACGACCUCCUCGACGCCAAUAGGAAUCUCCUAACCGGCAACUUGUAUCUGAGCCUGGGUGCUGCCGCCGCCGCUAUGGCUAAUGCUCCGGCUAAUGGUUUGCCAGGUAUGGUGCUGUCAAUUGAUCUUGCGUAUUUCCAAGUGUUUCCGGGAAAUUAAUUUUUAACUUAAAAAGGACGCAUGAAUAGACUCUCAACU
RNAcentral lists this long non-coding RNA (2033 nucleotides) under Bemisia tabaci. RNAcentral's name for it is "lncRNA ENSSSA2NGG011517". The record is from RNAcentral. Lineage: Eukaryota; Metazoa; Arthropoda; Insecta; Hemiptera; Aleyrodidae.